Ixodes scapularis (black-legged tick) is the source of this 162-nucleotide non-coding RNA. Lineage: Eukaryota; Metazoa; Arthropoda; Arachnida; Ixodida; Ixodidae. The record is from Rfam.
AUACGUACCUUGUGCUGAGAAUCCCGUGGUCACGGUGGCGGUUUCUCCGGGGGGAGGCCUUCCACUUUACAGCGGUCGGCUGAGCCCUGCCACUUCCCCAAACGGGGGUAGCUGGAGCAUGGAAUUUUUGGUAGUGGGGACCGGCACUCGGGCCCGUCCCCU